RNAcentral lists this ribosomal RNA (220 nucleotides) under uncultured bacterium. RNAcentral describes it as "partial 16S ribosomal RNA". It matches the Rfam family "Bacterial small subunit ribosomal RNA", at positions 114 to 334 of the family's 1533-position model. The record is from RNAcentral.
CGCGUAUGCAAUCUACCUUUAACUGGUGAAUAGCCCGAAGAAAUUCGGAUUAAUACACCAUAGUAUAAUUGAGUGGCAUCACUUAAUUAUUAAAACUCCGGUGGUUAAAGAUGAGCAUGCGUGACAUUAGCUAGUUGGUGAGGUAAUGGCUCACCAAGGCUACGAUGUCUAGGGGAUCUGAGAGGAUUAACCCCCACACUGGUACUGAGACAGGGACCAG